Molecule: microRNA precursor, 84 nt
Filed under: Bombyx mori (domestic silkworm)
Lineage: Eukaryota; Metazoa; Arthropoda; Insecta; Lepidoptera; Bombycidae
Description: mir-2807 microRNA precursor family
Rfam family: mir-2807 microRNA precursor family
Source: Rfam by way of RNAcentral
UUAGCUCAUAUUUGUAUGGAAUGGGAUCGUUUGCCUACGUUUGCCGUCAGGGGCGCUGUUCUAACUGCAUACAAAAUUGGGUUA